This 658-nucleotide long non-coding RNA is filed under the name Phascolarctos cinereus (koala). Its description in RNAcentral is "lncRNA (ENSPCIG00000017846.2)". The record is from RNAcentral. Lineage: Eukaryota; Metazoa; Chordata; Mammalia; Diprotodontia; Phascolarctidae.
UGAAAUCAUCUAGGAGAGAGGUGAUGAGGGUCUGGACUGUGAGAUUUCACACUAGCUGGCACACUCUGCCUCCUCAGGGCUUACUGGAACAUUGAGAUGAGGACCACAAAUUUCAUUAUCUCGCUCUCUAGCAUUUCCGGAAGUCACAUGUAGACCCAGGCACCCACGAAGUUGCACAUGAAUUCCUUUCUUCUCCUCCCUCUGUUUCCUCUUUAUCAUCCUCCUCCCCUUUCUAGAAAGCCGUUUUUCCUCUAGUGCCCUAGACUAGCAGUUCAAUAAUGAUACUGCCCUCUUCACGUUAGGUUUUCCUCUGUCCUGAGGUCUGGUACAGGGCAGAUGAAGAAAGAAGUGAAACAAGGAGCUGGGCUUAAGAAUCCCAGCGAAAGGAUGGGGAACUGUCUCCGAAGAAGAAGAUUCAGGCAAGUAAUAAAGAGAAGGAAGAAAGAGUUCCAUGAGGAAAGUAAGUUCUUAAUUCCUUUUUUGUAAUAUUGAUACAUUUCUUUUAUAAAGAUUAAAUUAGCCUUUUUGGUGGUUCUUCCUAUUGGUUCUAAUUCUUACUUACAACAUCACUAAUGUAAAAAUGUGUUUAAUAGGAAUGUAUAUGUAUAGCCUAUAUCAGAUUGUGCUCCAUCUUGUGGAGGGAGAUGGAAAGAGAGAG